GAUGAACGCUGGCGGCGUGCCUAAUACAUGCAAGUCGAACGCAUAGCGAAAGGUGCUUGCACCUUUCAAGUGAGUGGCGAACGGGUGAGUAACACGUGGACAACCUGCCUCAAGGCUGGGGAUAACAUUUGGAAACAGAUGCUAAUACCGAAUAAAACUUAGUGUCGCAUGACACAAAGUUAAAAGGCGCUUCGGCGUCACCUAGAGAUGGAUCCGCGGUGCAUUAGUUAGUCGGUGGGGUAAAGGCCUACCAAGACAAUGAUGCAUAGCCGAGUUGAGAGACUGAUCGGCCACAUUGGGACUGAGACACGGCCCAAACUCCUACGGGAGGCUGCAGUAGGGAAUCUUCCACAAUGGGCGAAAGCCUGAUGGAGCAACGCCGCGUGUGUGAUGAAGGCUUUCGGGUCGUAAAGCACUGUUGUAUGGGAAGAACAGCUAGAAUAGGAAAUGAUUUUAGUUUGACGGUACCAUACCAGAAAGGGACGGCUAAAUACGUG
This 497-nucleotide ribosomal RNA is filed under the name uncultured bacterium. Its description in RNAcentral is "partial 16S ribosomal RNA". It matches the Rfam family "Bacterial small subunit ribosomal RNA", at positions 28 to 507 of the family's 1533-position model. The record is from RNAcentral.